This 299-nucleotide long non-coding RNA is filed under the name Homo sapiens (human). RNAcentral's name for it is "non-protein coding lnc-SH2D1B-1:1". Lineage: Eukaryota; Metazoa; Chordata; Mammalia; Primates; Hominidae. The record is from RNAcentral.
UGCGCACUAACUGAGGGUGAAGGAUGUCGGUUGGGUCUGCUAGGAGGGGCCAGGAGCCGGCCGGCAGAGAGCGGCUCGUGGGUCCCAGGACCCCUGACGUCCCUAGGUUGUACUGGGAGCUUUUGCAAGAAGUGGAAUAUGUUGAAAUACGAAAAUACCUAGAUUUAACAUACCACCUAUCAUAAAGAGAUUCAGGCGCCUUUCUUCUACUUUCUUGGGUGCAAAGGCCUUUUCAUUCCCUUUACCAAUUGCAUAAUCACCCACUGCCUCAAGUAACAACAGAAAAACUUAAACUUGGU